This 801-nucleotide long non-coding RNA is filed under the name Elaeis guineensis (African oil palm). RNAcentral describes it as "long non-coding RNA (EGUI_LNC076106)". Lineage: Eukaryota; Viridiplantae; Streptophyta; Magnoliopsida; Arecales; Arecaceae. The record is from RNAcentral.
GCUAUUGGGUAGCGACUUGUUAUCUUGAAACCCAUUCACACUUCAAGCAGGAAGGAGUGAUUCGCGAGAGUGGGGUCAGGAGAUCACAUUCACCAUUAGUGAAUCAUAGAGGUACUGCCCCACAUAUGGAAGAUGAUAUGCCAUUGGCCCCUUUGAUUAAACCCCUGAAUGAUACAAUUUGCAGCCUCAAGAUCACGAGGUUGAUGUCCAACCUUCCUCAGGGUUCGUAAAGGUAAGAGGUUCACCGCUGAACCUGGAUCGACUAGAAUACGCUUUACAGGCUUCCUGUUAAGGAUUCCUUCAAGGUACAACGGGCGGUUGUGCUCAUUGGAAUCCAGUAAGAAAUCAUCUUCUUCAAAGGAAAUGGUAUCCGAACGACGCCUUUUAUGGAGGGAUAUCUUACGCUUGGCAAAUUCUAUAUCAGCACCAUGGAUCUGUUUAGGAGAUUUCAAUUCUAUCAGAUCUUCAGAGGAAAAAGUUGGAGGUUAUAAGGGAAGCAAGGAGUCAGAAUUCGGUUGGGAUUCAGUGAGUGAGGGAGCAGAGGCAGAAUCGAACUAAGAAGAUUCGGAGUAAUGAAAAUCGAACUCAAAAGCAACUUACCAAUCCAAUCCAGCUGACAUUGAUGGAUAAAAUCCUCCUAGAAAGAGGGACUUGGCAGAGGUAGACUCGGCAUCUGGCUCACCUGCAAAAAUGAAUUUCAAAAGGCUCUUACCACACGGGGUGGACUGGCUGUACUGACUUACCUCACUAGCUAAACUAAUGGAACCCGCCUUGGGCGAGUACUGGAAUAAGUCUUGUAUG